This 382-nucleotide ribosomal RNA is filed under the name uncultured eukaryote. RNAcentral's name for it is "partial 18S ribosomal RNA". It matches the Rfam family "Eukaryotic small subunit ribosomal RNA", at positions 592 to 976 of the family's 1831-position model. The record is from RNAcentral.
UGUAAGCGUAUACCAAAGUUGUUGCAGUUAAAACGCUCGUAGUCGGAAUUUGGCAGUUCCGGAUGUGUGCACGUCGUGUGCGCACUUCGCGGGGAUUGCUUUUGUGGUCUUGCGUAGGAUGAGGCACUUUUAUUAGUGAACGUCCUCACGCAACCACUUUUUACUGUGAGAAAAUCAGAGUGCUCAAAGCAGGCAUUUGCCGUGAAUGUAUUAGCAUGGAAUAAUAGAAUAGGACUUGGUUCUAUUUUGUUGGUUUGUUGGGACUGAGUAAUGAUUAAGAGGGACAGUUGGGGGCAUUUGUAUUUCGGCGCUAGAGGUGAAAUUCUUAGAUUGCCGGAAGACAAACUGCUGCGAAAGCGUCUGCCAAGGAUGUUUUCAUUGA